AUACGUAGGGAGCAAACGUUGUCCGGAUUUAUUGGGCGUAAAGGGCUCGUAGGCGGUUCAACAAGUCGGUCGUGAAAGCCCGGGGCUCAACCCCGGGACGCCGGUCGAAACUGUUGUGACUAGAGUUCGGUAGAGGUGAGUGGAAUUCUCGGUGUAGCGGUGGAAUGCGCAGAUAUCGAGAGGAACACCAUUAGCGAAGGCGGCUCACUGGGCCGAUACUGACGCUGAGGAGCGAAAGCGUGGGAAGCAAACAGGAUUAGAAACCCCGGUAGUCC
This 275-nucleotide ribosomal RNA is filed under the name uncultured bacterium. RNAcentral's name for it is "partial 16S ribosomal RNA". It matches the Rfam family "Bacterial small subunit ribosomal RNA", at positions 523 to 796 of the family's 1533-position model. The record is from RNAcentral.